GGCCUCGUCUCGGGUAGCCUCACGGUUUUCACCCGGGCCACGGGGUCCUCCUCGUGGCAAACCAGGGUUCUCUUAACUGGGCGCUCUGGGGAACCACGACGUUUACUUUGAGAAAAUUAGAGUGUUCAAAGCAGGCGUUCGCUUGAAUACAUUAGCAUGGAAUAAUGGAAUAGGGCUCCGGUUCUAUUUUGUUGGUUUUCAGCUACCGAAGCA
RNAcentral lists this ribosomal RNA (213 nucleotides) under uncultured fungus. RNAcentral's name for it is "partial small subunit ribosomal RNA". The stretch from base 85 to 213 matches the Rfam family "Eukaryotic small subunit ribosomal RNA", at positions 734 to 865 of the family's 1831-position model. Lineage: Eukaryota; Fungi. The record is from RNAcentral.